RNAcentral lists this ribosomal RNA (306 nucleotides) under Rhodella violacea. RNAcentral's name for it is "partial Bacterial small subunit ribosomal RNA". It matches the Rfam family "Bacterial small subunit ribosomal RNA", at positions 488 to 793 of the family's 1533-position model. The record is from RNAcentral. Lineage: Eukaryota; Rhodophyta; Rhodellophyceae; Rhodellales; Rhodellaceae.
AAGCACCGGCCAACUACGUGCCAUCAGCCGCGGUAAUACGUAGGGUGCAAGCGUUGUCCGGAAUUAUUGGGCGUAAAGAGCUCGUAGGCGGUUUGUCGCGUCUGCUGUGAAAACCCGAGGCUCAACCUCGGGCCUGCAGUGGGUACGGGCAGACUAGAGUGCGGUAGGGGAGAAUGGAAUUCCUGGUGUAGCGGUGGAAUGCGCAGAUAUCAGGAGGAACACCAGUGGCGAAGGCGGUUCUCUGGGCCUUUCCUGACGCUGAGGAGCGAAAGCGUGGGGAGCGAACAGGAUUAGAUACCCUGGUAG